UUACAAACUCAAUCAAUAAGGAUGGAAGCACUCGAAGAAAAGGUUGAAGCACUUCUGAAGUUAUCUCAGGUUAUACUUUGCUAUUACAUAGAAUAUGAUAGCGUAACUUAAUAUAUCUUAACAUUUCAAUAAGUUUAAAUUUUUUGUAUUAUUUUGCAGAAUCAAAAUAAGAAUGUAGAGGAUAUGAGUUCACGUGCUUUUACUCCAUAGGUUUUUGUAUUGUAUAUUAUUUUUUCAAUAUAAAUUCAGAUUAUAUCAUACUAGUUUUAAAAAUAGACUUUAUUUUAAUGCGAAUUUGUAGUCUCAACAAGGAAGUGGUAUGGAGGGAGGUAUUGCACCAGUGGAAAAUGGAAAGUGUCAACUAUUGCACUGGUACUUGGUUGAGGAGGAAAUUGUAGGCGAAGGGAAGAUUGCAUCAAUAGACCUAAGUAAAAAUGUGCAUCACGUGCCACUAGGACGAGAU
Molecule: long non-coding RNA, 463 nt
Filed under: Olea europaea subsp. europaea
Lineage: Eukaryota; Viridiplantae; Streptophyta; Magnoliopsida; Lamiales; Oleaceae
Source: RNAcentral